RNAcentral lists this ribosomal RNA (524 nucleotides) under uncultured bacterium. Its description in RNAcentral is "partial 16S ribosomal RNA". It matches the Rfam family "Bacterial small subunit ribosomal RNA", at positions 28 to 523 of the family's 1533-position model. The record is from RNAcentral.
GACGAACGCUGGCGGCGUGCCUAAUACAUGCAAGCCGAACGAAGCUUUUUUAACUGGUGCUUGCACCGACUUAAACAACUGAGUGGUGAACGGGUGAGUAACACGUGGGUAACCUGCCCCAAAGCGGGGGAUAACAUUUGGAAACAGAUGCUAAUACCGCAUAACCACAGAAACCACAUGGUUUCUGUGUCAAAGAUGGUUUCGGCUAUCACUUUGGGAUGGACCCGCGGCGUAUUAGCUAGUUGGUAAGGUAAUGGCUUACCAAGGCAAUGAUAGGUAGCCGAACUGAGAGGUUGAUCGGCCACAUUGGGACUGAGACACGGCCCAAACUCCUACGGGAGGCAGCAGUAGGGAAUCUUCCACAAUGGACGAAAGUCUGAUGGAGCAACGCCGCGUGAGUGAAGAAGGUUUUCGGAUCGUAAAACUCUAUUGUCAGAGAAGAACGUGUGCGAGAGUAACUGUUCGUGCAGUGACGGUAUCUGGCCAGAAAGCCACGGCUAACUACGUGCCAGCAGCCGCGGUAA